UUCAAACUCUAGAGCUGCCAAGGACUAGCUGUGGGAUUUUCUUCAAGGAUGAAAGGAGAGAAGGCAGAUUCGACUGACCUCAGGGCCCCAGAUGUCAGCAGCCAAGUUCCAGGCAGCAAGACGGAGGAAGGGGCAGAGAAGACAGCAAAGCUACUCAUCUGCCACCUGCCACUUCUUUAUACAUCCUAUUAGCCAGAAUGUAGUCACAUGACCUCAGCUAAACUAGAUAGGAGGCUUGGAAAUGUAGCCUUUUUUUCUUGGUGAAAAUUUUCAGCCCAGCUGAAAAUUCUAUUAUGUGGAAGAAAGAGAGUUGGGAUCUUGAGGGACAACUUAAAAGUUUCUACCAAAACAAAAUUAUCUUGCUGGAUUUAGACUCAUAUGCAUGAAGAAAAACAUUCAUUCAUUCAUCCAAUGGUUUAACUCAACAAAUAUUUAUUGAGCACAUACUACGUGCCAGGCAGUGUUUUAUGGGCUGAGCUACAUUGGUGAAUAAAACACAAUUCCCUGGCCUCAGGGAGCUUAUGCCCUAGCAGGGAGGGAAAGAUAUCAAAUAAUAAAUAUAAGUAAUUAAAUUACAUACUAUAGUAGAAGGUACAGAUUAUUAUAGCAGAAAAGAAUAACAGGACGGGGGCGUGGAAGUCAGCAAGGGUGGUUGCAAUUUUAUGUAGGUAGAUGGGUGGGUCUCAUUGAGAAGAGGACAUUUGUGCAGACUUAGAGGUGAGGGAGUGAGUCUUGCAGAAAUCAGCGGAAAGAGGCUCCCAGGCAGAGGGAACAACCAAUGCAAAUGUCCAAAGGUGGGAGCAUGCAUGAUUGAGUGAUGUUUGCAAAGAAGCAGGAGACCAGAGUUGGCUGGAGCAGAAUGAAUAUUGAGAUGAAAUCAGAGAAAUAAUAGGAGGCUAAUUCAUUUGGGGUGGGCUUUUGCAGCUGUUAUAAGUACUCUGGCUUUUCCUCUGAGUGAAAUGAGAGCUAUUACAGUGUUUGAAGUGGUAGAGUUCUAAAUACAUAGAGUUUAUAAAUAAAUAAACACACCCAUAUACGGGGAGUGGACUAAAAA
Balaenoptera ricei (Rice's whale) is the source of this 1054-nucleotide long non-coding RNA. RefSeq lists it as uncharacterized. The record is from RefSeq and is a predicted model, not a curated record. Lineage: Eukaryota; Metazoa; Chordata; Mammalia; Artiodactyla; Balaenopteridae. The transcript is spliced from 2 exons.